CCUGGGUACCCCGUUCCAAGUGCCCGAGUUUUGGCAGCAUAAAAAUACUACUCGCAGUACAAGUAGUGUAGUGCAUCCAGUUAGAAUCAGAACUACAAGCCCAACAAGAUUUCCAAUUGAAGAAGGUUCUGCUCGCCCUUCCGAUACGCUUCCGAAGAAAAUCGUGUGGAGCUUCCCCUGAUUCUCUCCUUUGCAGUUUUGGUAAAUAUGAAUGAAGAAUGAUGAACAAAUGCUUGAUUCAUAGUUUUAAAAAUUGUAUUGAUUAUCAAAUCGAUUAGAAUAUUAAUUUCAUUCCUUGUUAAGUAAACUAGUAAUUUUGCCUACUUAUAUGAAUUACUUGUUGAAAA
This is a non-coding RNA of Cajanus cajan (pigeon pea), 347 nucleotides long. Lineage: Eukaryota; Viridiplantae; Streptophyta; Magnoliopsida; Fabales; Fabaceae. The record is from RefSeq and is a predicted model, not a curated record.